Molecule: ribosomal RNA, 305 nt
Filed under: uncultured bacterium
Lineage: Bacteria
Description: bacterial SSU rRNA
Rfam family: Bacterial small subunit ribosomal RNA
Source: RNAcentral
CCUACGGGGGGCAGCAGUGGGGAAUAUUGCGCAAUGGACGAAAGUCUGACGCAGCGACGCCGCGUGAGGGAUGAAGGUUUUCGGAUCGUAAACCUCUGUCAGGAGGGAAGAAAGCGCAUGGCGCCAAUCAGCCAUGCGUUGACGGUACCUCCAAAGGAAGCGCCGGCUAACUCCGUGCCAGCAGCCGCGGUAAUACGGAGGGCGCGAGCGUUAAUCGGAAUCACUGGGCGUAAAGCGCGCGUAGGCGGCUUUUCAAGUCAGGGGUGAAAUCCCACGGCCCAACCGUGGAACUGCCUUUGAAACUG